UUGAACGCUGGCGGCCGGCCUAACCCCUGCCAGUCGAACGGUAACAGGAAGAAGCUUGCUUCUUUGCUGACGAGUGGCGGACGGGUGAGUAAUGUCUGGGAAACUGCCUGAUGGAGGGGGAUAACUACUGGAAACGGUAGCUAAUACCGCAUAACGUCGCAAGACCAAAGAGGGGGACCUUCGGGCCUCUUGCCAUCGGAUGUGCCCAGAUGGGAUUAGCUAGUAGGUGGGGUAACGGCUCACCUAGGCGACGAUCCCUAGCUGGUCUGAGAGGAUGACCAGCCACACUGGAACUGAGACACGGUCCAGACUCCUACGGGAGGCAGCAGUGGGGAAUAUUGCAUAAUGGGCGCAAGCCUGAUGCAGCCAUGCCGCGUGUAUGAAGAAGGCCUUCGGGUUGUAAAGUACUUUCAGCGGGGAGGAAGGGAGUAAAGUUAAUACCUUUGCUCAUUGACGUUACCCGCAGAAGAAGCACCGGCUAACUCCGUG
This 489-nucleotide ribosomal RNA is filed under the name uncultured bacterium. RNAcentral's name for it is "partial 16S ribosomal RNA". It matches the Rfam family "Bacterial small subunit ribosomal RNA", at positions 30 to 507 of the family's 1533-position model. The record is from RNAcentral.